GGACCGUAAGCUCAGUUGGUAGAGCAGCCGGCUCAUAACCGGUCGGUCCGGGGUUCGAGUCCCUGACGGUCCACCA
RNAcentral lists this transfer RNA (76 nucleotides) under Oscillospiraceae bacterium. Its description in RNAcentral is "tRNA-Ile". It matches the Rfam family "tRNA". From Rfam's summary of the family: Transfer RNA (tRNA) molecules are approximately 80 nucleotides in length. Their secondary structure includes four short double-helical elements and three loops (D, anti-codon, and T loops). Further hydrogen bonds mediate the characteristic L-shaped molecular structure. tRNAs have two regions of fundamental functional importance: the anti-codon, which is responsible for specific mRNA codon recognition, and the 3' end, to which the tRNAs corresponding amino acid is attached (by aminoacyl-tRNA synthetases). tRNAs cope with the degeneracy of the genetic code in two manners: having more than one tRNA (with a specific anti-codon) for a particular amino acid; and 'wobble' base-pairing, i.e. permitting non-standard base-pairing at the 3rd anti-codon position. The record is from RNAcentral. Lineage: Bacteria; Bacillati; Bacillota; Clostridia; Eubacteriales; Oscillospiraceae.